UUUUGGAGGAAAGACAAAGCUGACCGGGAGUCACAAGGCUACUCUCUUUGCUCCCUGUCUGCUUUGCCUGCAGCAUUAGACAGCCAGUGUGGAUCUGAACAGCUUUCUUCCCAAGCUGAGAAGUGGAUAAUCCAGAUGAUCACUGUCCCUGCCAUCUGAGAACAAGCUGAGGCAGUUUCGAGAGGAGCUUGGGGAAGGUGUCAGCACCAUGAGCUGCUGUGGGACCUUCACUGCUGCUCUGUUCUUGGAGCUGGAGAUGUCCUGGACCAUUCCUCUACCUUUGAAGAUGCUUGCUGAGCAGCCGGGAAAGCACUGAUGUUGAGGAAUGGGAG
This is a long non-coding RNA of Centrocercus urophasianus (Greater sage-grouse), 332 nucleotides long. RefSeq lists it as uncharacterized. NCBI's taxonomy places the organism in Eukaryota, Metazoa, Chordata, Aves, Galliformes, Phasianidae. The record is from RefSeq and is a predicted model, not a curated record. The transcript has 3 exons.